Salvelinus sp. IW2-2015 is the source of this 805-nucleotide long non-coding RNA. RefSeq lists it as uncharacterized. Lineage: Eukaryota; Metazoa; Chordata; Actinopteri; Salmoniformes; Salmonidae. The record is from RefSeq and is a predicted model, not a curated record.
ACUCUUUUCCCCCCUUGUUUUCUCUUCAGGUACAGCAUCUCUUAUAUUCCAUUUGCCAGGGACGCCGUGAUGAAGGUCUUUACCAGCUGUCUGAGUUAAGAGAACAGACGUGGGUUCAAACACUAUUUGAAAUCGGUUUAGCUGGGGCUUGAUUGAGCAUGCCUGGCGUGAUGGAACCAAUAGAAAAUUGCGGAACUGCAAAACCCCACCCACCUAACACUCCAGGAAAGCUAGAGCAAUUUGUCUAGGUAUUUGAAAGAUUUCGAAUUGUAUUUAAACCCAGGUCUAAUGUUUCCAGACUGUCCACUUUUUCAUGUGAAGACUAGUAAUGCAGAGUGGAUAUAUGUAAAAUAUUGUUUUUGGAAUUGUGUUUUUCCUUUUUAUUUUCUAAUAUAUAUUUUCAUUGCUGUUUCGUACUAUGAAUCAUUAAUAUUUCCAAUAAUUGUGUAACAGUUAUCUGAAACUAACGUGUAUUCAUAUUAUGCUCACCAGGGUUUGGGGUCAAUUCCAUUUUAAAUGUCUUUAAUUCAGGAAGUUGACUAAAACUUCUAAUUCUAUUGUUCUCAUUGAGAAGCAUUGACGAGAUUUCAGUUUACUUCCUGAAUUGACUUGAGUUGAAAUGGAAUUGACCCUGCUUGAUGCUUGUCUGCAAAAUCUCAUAUUUUUACACUCAAAUUCUGUCUGUCGUUUUUUAAGUGCUUCCGGUGAAAGUGAGAGGUGAAAUUAAAAUAUUAUCCAUGAAGACGGGGUCGGGGUCAAUUAGAUUUAAAGGCAGUCCACUCCAGAAGUGAUUUAAAUUUCAAAU